Molecule: non-coding RNA, 1068 nt
Organism: Paralichthys olivaceus (Japanese flounder)
Lineage: Eukaryota; Metazoa; Chordata; Actinopteri; Pleuronectiformes; Paralichthyidae
Source: RefSeq, a predicted model, not a curated record
UGUCUUGGCUCAUCGGAGGCGGCUGGUCGCCAGGACUCCUCUCAGCCUGCUCCCCGAAGACCCCUGGCUCCACAGAAACAGGAAAUGAACUGUGGGAUCUGUCCAUCAACCGUGAACCUGAGUUACACAGGGGAACUGGAGGGGAGUGCUGAGGCCUGAUUGGGUGGAAAACCAUCUGGGAGGCUCCACCUCCCCCUGUCGUCUGCCAGCCGCCAUGCCAAUCCAAACACACAAGGCCUCUCCAGACUGAUCCAGAGCAUGAUUUCAGAAAGAAGAGAACCCUUUCCCCUCUUUUUCCCCCUUCUUGUGCCCAAAACUCUCCCACCCUCUCCUCCCUCCCUCUCCCUCGGUCUCACCGUGUCUUCCAAAGAGUAACGCUUAGGGAGAGGAGAACUGAGUAAAGACAGAAGGGAGAGGGAAGGAAAGGGAGGGAAAGGAUGGAUGGAUAGAAGAAAAGAGGGAGGGGGCCGAGGUUUACUCUAUCCAGCAUGGGCUGCUAAAUUGGUUUCAGAGCAGCAGUUGGACUCCAGGGAUGCACGGCACACACUACCGACUAGCUGUGUUUGCUUUUGUGGGGUGUAGGAAAUCUGAUCUCCGUCCAUGUAGCCAACCCACAUCCCACCCAUCAGUACCACCAAGAAUGAAGGGAGCUAUGAGGAGAGUUGCUAAAACAGGUAUCAUUGAUACUUUAGGAAUAAAAAUAACAAACAUUAACUUCGAGUGUGGAAAAGUGCAUAUUUCACGAAAAUGUUGAAUGGUUACAUCAUACCGCAUGAGCCGUCUUUGUUACAGGCAGGAAGUCACAUGUCUGUGGAAGGUAGGAUGACAUGUUGAGUCCCCGCUGAGCCCAAGGCUGAAGGCUCUCUAAAUAGGUUUAAUUGGGCCAGGCCUUACACUACCAUGCAGACAUUGCCAGACAGACACAGGGCUACAGGGAAAAGCAGAACACCCAAGAGACCUCAGGCACCACGUCCUCGUAUCUGACUUGGUGCUGCUGUGUGGCUCAUUUGUUGUACUCACAGUUUAAGGACACACUGCUUACACAUUGCUAUGUCCAAGGGAGCUGUG